UAGGGAAUCUUCCGCAAUGGGCGAAAGCCUGACGGAGCAACGCCGCGUGAGUGAAGAAGGUCUUCGGAUCGUAAAACUCUGUUAUUAGGGAAGAACAAAUGUGUAAGUAACUAUGCACGUCUUGACGGUACCUAAUCAGAAAGCCACGGCUAACUACGUGCCAGCAGCCGCGGUAAUACGUAGGUGGCAAGCGUUAUCCGGAAUUAUUGGGCGUAAAGCGCGCGUAGGCGGUUUUUUAAGUCUGAUGUGAAAGCCCACGGCUCAACCGUGGAGGGUCAUUGGAAACUGGAAAACUGUAGUGCAGAAGAGGAAAGUGGAAUUCCAUGUGUAGCGGUGAAAUGCGCAGAGAUAUGGAGGAACACCAGUGGCGAAGGCGACUUUCUGGUCUGUAACUGACGCUGAUGUGCGAAAGCGUGGGGAUCAAACA
RNAcentral lists this ribosomal RNA (427 nucleotides) under uncultured bacterium. RNAcentral describes it as "partial 16S ribosomal RNA". It matches the Rfam family "Bacterial small subunit ribosomal RNA", at positions 355 to 774 of the family's 1533-position model. The record is from RNAcentral.